GGCCCCCUUCUUUUUUGCCUUCAAUCUUUCCAAGCAUCAGGGUCUUUUCCAGUGAGUCAGCUCUUCACAUCAGGGGGCCAAAGUAUUGGAGCUUCAGCUUCAACGUCAGUCCUUCCAGUGACUGGAUCCUAGAAGGUCAGUGUUUAGGCAAAAAGAAUGUCAGUGUUGGCAUAAAGAAUGCCAACCUUGAGUUUGGUGAAUUGGAAGGGCAGUUUUCAUAGUCACAUGUUAGUAAACUCAAGGUAUCACUUUAAAGACAACUUAAAGGUGACUGCAAUCCUUGAGCUAACUUUCCAUGUUAAACUAGUUUGGACCCAGAUGCAGAGACUAACGAUCAGAUCAUUUAAACACAGAAUAAGACCAGCCACAAAUAGUAACACUUGGAUGCCUGACUCAUAGAUGUGAGCAAGAAUUAGUAAUUACUUUGAAUGGUUGGAAGAUCCCAGAGGAAAAUUUGGGAAACUCUUCAUUCCCUUUUGCCCUGUACACAGAAUUCUUAGUACAAAUACCUGGCAACAUCAAGAUACAGGUGCGGAUUUGGAAUAUCUGAAGCCUCACUUUGGUUUCUUUGUUUUUCAACUGAAUCUCAUUCUAUUGAGGUUCAAGAUCAAAUACUUGCAUUUUAAUGUAACAUUUGCCAAAUUUCCAAACCUCUAAGCACAAAAUCCUCAACCCUCCUUUCUUUGCUUGCCUGGAAAUCUAGGUAGCACUGAGCCAAGAGUAGGAGUUAUGAAGUGAGAUUACACUUGAUUAGGAACAAAAAAAGUCCUAUGUCCAGAAAUGCAGAUGUGCACAGCAGUCCUAGGGGAAUGUUGGUAUUUGAUCUCCUCGUCUUAAAGGUUCAUGUUCCCAAGGUUAAGAGAUGCAGAGAGCCAACUUUUAUUUGUAACUAAUGCUGAAAUUACUCUGGAGAUUCUAGAAGUAUUACAUUACAAAUCACACAGCUUUGGAAAUCCUACAACUCGUGAGUUACAAAUAUCACUGUGUGAGAGAAAGGGGCAAUAAGUGAAGGACAGCAUUCAUAAGCUUAAUUUAUACCAUAGCAGCAUGAUCAUGAAUAUACUGUAUGAGAGUUUUCUUCUCAGUGAGAAAAAGAAAAGAGAGCCUAGGAAGUCCAUGAGUCAAGACCCAGCUAAAAGAACCAGGAAGUAAAGGCCUCCUUGUCUAGGGGAAUCUGAGUGGGGGAGGGGGAGCCACAGUCAACGGGCUGCAAUAUCCUCCUUUUUCUAAUAUCUAACUUCAUGACCUGGAUCAGGUUGCUUAUUUAUUGAGUAAGGCUUCCAUUUGCGUAAAAGGUAAAGUAUAGGUAUUUACAAAAUAAUAUCUUUUAACAAGCUUGGCACCAAUGGCCAUCUGUGAAAGAGAUAACAUAUAACAGUUCGCCUCAAGAGGGGAACUUCAGUGGAACCAAAUUCAGUAUUAAAAUCAAGAAUAGUUAGAGACAUUUAUAUAUCACACAGUUGCCUGGGUGUUUUUUUUUUUUUUUAACCUUAAUAAACUGUUUUCCUGUAAUAGGCACUUGGCAUUAUCUGGUAUUAACUAAUUGGACUUCCUUUUUGGCUUGACCUUUCUUAUUUUAAACUAGAUGGUGAUCUAGUUCUUUGUAUUUUCAAUGACUUUAAGCCCAAAGACAAAGAAAAGAUAGAUAAAUCUGUAUCUUGGUUACAGGAGUAAAUUAUUCUAGGCAAAAUUACACCUGUUUCACUUUUCACCAAUGGAAUCUACUACUCGAUGUGUGUGUGUGUGUGUGUGUGUGUAUGUUUCACUGUGAGGUUAAUCUGCCCUUGCCAUGAAACGUUUUAAUAAUUAAAUCCACUUAAAUCAUCACACCUUGAGAAACAUUUUUAGAGUGAUUCUAAGGCAUGACCUUAAAAAGAGAGCUAGAAUUUGGAAUAUAGUGCAUAAUUUAUAUAAUUUUUGGCUUCCCAGGUGGCACUAGUGGUAAAGAAUCCACCUGCCAGUGCAGGAGACACAGGAGACAUGGGUUCGGUCCCUGAGUCAGGGAGAUCCCCUGGAGGAGAGCAUGGCACCCACUCCAGUAUUCUCACCUGGACAAUACCAUGGACAGAGGAUCCUGGCAGGCUACAGUCUAUGGGGUCACGAAGUGUCAGACACAACUGAGCACAUACAUACCCAUAUAUAACUGAUGUACAACAUGUAAAUGUAUGAUAGAUUUUAAGUGAACAGAAUAUACAUAAUAUUUCAGAAAUAAAACACCCCACACAUAUCACCUACCUUACACUAAUAAAUGCAAAUUCAGGUUGUACCAUCUGAACAGCUACUACUUCACUCAUCCUCACUAAUGAUAUUUUUCAGAUCUUGGAUUUUGAUAGAUGCACUGUGGAAUGUAGAAAUAAUCAUCAUUUAGGUAACUGAAAAGUAGCUUGCCAAAACUGAUAUAAUGAAUGUUAUUUAAGAUGUUCUGUCAAAAUCCUUUCCAAUUAGUGUUGAGGUCUUGAAGGGCCAGGCUUGGCUUUUUAUUAAUAUGUUCAGUUUAUUAAUGUAUUUUUGAUAUAUGCAUAGCGUGACUAUCUAAAACAUGUCAUGAUAUUGCAUAAUUAUGGUGCUUUUAAUUUGUUGUACCCAAGUUUAUUUUCCAGUCUUAUUUAAAAUUCAAAAUUACUUCAUAGUUUCAUAACUAAUAACUCAUUAGGAAGCUGUGCCAGGUACUUAAGGUUACCUCUAAGGCAAUGCAUAUUUAACAAUAAACUAGAGAAGUUCUUGACUACUUGACUGUCAUUGACCAGUUUAAAUAUUUAAAGUUAUCAUCUGACCCUUUGUCUAACCACUUUUAGAAAAUGAAACAGUUUGUGUAUAAAACAUAGAAAAGGGAAGUCCUUUCACAGUCUUUUCUAAAAUGAAGAAAACUAGCUAUCAGUAAUCAAAAACUUAGAUAACACUUACAUAUGUGUGUGUAUGUGUGUGUGUGUGUAUAUGUAUAUGUAUAUGAUACCAUACUGACCAUGUAUUAUUUUUAGAUUAAAGGACCCAUUUUUUCUUUUUCUUGUUAUUUUUUGAUAAGACAUAGACAUUUAAGCAUGUCAUUCUACUGUGAUCGGGUUCAGAUUCGUUGUCAGUCACCUUAAUAAUUUUGCAUUCCUAUCUGUCUCUCUGUUAUAUCUUAAAAAAGACAGCAUUUGACUUGUCUCUGUUCCCCUCCAAAUGAUGAGAAAUUGAGCAUAGUUAAAAAUGAUAACGGUUCAACUCCUUGCUUAUUGAGGUGUGUCCUAUCUACAUUAUUUAGACCUUGUCUCGAAAUCUAAUAAGUAGCUGAAUGAUAAUUAAAAAUAAUCCAGCAUAAUGCUUUGCUUAUAGUGGUGUGAUUUAACUAAUGUCUAUUCAGUAUCUGUGUAAUAAAAAUAGUUCUAGGUUCAAUAGGGACCCAAACCUGGGUGAUGUGGAAGAUACUUCAUAUAAGUCAAUGAGAUAAUUAAGGUCUCUUUUCUGAUGCUGUCUUGUUUAGCAUUCUUAGAUUCAGGAGGACAGCCCUUCUAUCUAAUUUAAAUGAAAAGAGAUUUGUUAGAGUGUGUAUAGAGUCCUUGCGGAAAAUGGUAAAAUUCUUUUGAAUGCUUCAGGCCAGCAGAAGAGACCCAUCAGACUCCCCUGGGACUGCUCACUGCUGCAGUCUUACACCGAGUGGCACCCAGGCUACAGGAACCCGAUUCCAUAGUCCCUUCCAGAACUUUCCCAGAAGAGCCAAAUGCAACUGCUUCCCUACACACACACACUCUUAGAGAAGUGCCUGUUAGCUCCCAUGCAAGUUCCUCGUUGUUCCCAUCCCAUUGCCAAGUCUUGCACAGGCAUCUGCCUUGCAGAACCUAGGCAAUGUCUGAAAACUGGUUGCAAGAGAAUCUCGAAAAUGUAGUUCUUAGGUUUCUAGCCUUCACAGUCAAAGAAAGCGGUUAGAAGGGAUCCGAAAGUGUAUGGAAUGAGCCAGUGUUCACUACCCCUCAGGCAUGUUCUGAAAUAGUGAUUCUCCAGCUGUGUUCCAAGGAAUCCUAAAAUUCUGCGUAUGUACCUAAAGGUUGCCAAGGAGGAAGAGAAGACCAGACAGGCAGGACUCCUAUCUAAAGCAGCUCCAGAGUAAUCUGGUCAUCUGUUGGGGAUGUCUAUAGUCCUUUGAAAAAAGUUUUUUCUGAAAAAAUAAGGUUUUCCCCCCGCCCAAGUUUUGAAACUGCUGCUGCUCCCAAAUACAGGCAGACCUCAGAUAAUGUAGGUUUGAUUCUAGACCACCACGAUAAAGAGACUCACGUGAAUUUUUUGGUUUCCCAGUGCAUAUAAAAAUUAUGUUUACACUAUUCUGUAGUCUCUUCAGUGUGUAUUAGCAUCAUGUCUUUUAAAAAAUGUACAUACAUAAUUUAAAAAUGCUUUAUUGCUUAAACUUGCUAACCAUCAUCUGAGCCUUCAUCAAGUCAUAAUGGUAACCGAAAAGAUCACUAAUCACAGUUCUCCUUAACAAAUAUAAAAAUAAUGAAAAAGCUUGAAAUAUCACAGGAAUUGCCAAAAUGGGACACAGACAUGAAUGAAGUGAGUAAAUGCUGUUGGAAAAUGGUACCAAUAGACUUUUUUGCCACAAAUCUUCAAAUUGUAAAAAAAGACAGUAUCUGUGAAGCCCCCAGAUGAGGUCUACCUGUAUGCCUCAGUCUUCCGUCUACUGCUUUUCCUGUUAGGCAGGGCAUCACAAAUAUAGUCUAGCAUUUCUUUCCAUCACAGUUCUAUUUAACAGACCACCUGCACUUUCUUAGACAGUGAAAGUGAAAUUGAAAGCCUCUCAGUUGUGUCCGACUCUUUGUGACCCCAUGGUCUAUACAGUCCAUGGAAUUCUCCAGUCCAGAAUACUGGAGCGGGUAGCCUUUCCCUUCUCCAGGGGAUCUUCCCAACCCAGGGAUCAAACCCAAGUCUCCCACAUUGCAGGCAGAUUCUUUACCAGCUGAGCCACCAGGGAAGCCCUUCUUAGACAAUAUUUGAAAAUAAUUACAAAUUACACUCUUUUCUCCCAUGUCUCAUUAGGAGAAGGGCUGCUCACAGGCCCAUUCAUAUUAGGGUUUUUAAUGUGAAUUCACCACUGCCUGAGAACAUCUCAGAACAUCUCAGCGGUGGAGGGCUAUUCAGUCCGCAUAGCCGUAGGGAUGAAGAGACUGGACACUUUUAAUUACUCCUCGGCUACUUUGUCUCAUUGACUUCAAAAACAAAAUUAGCAGUAAUAGGAGACAGUGGUUCCAUGGGUUAAAUUAAUCAACAUGUGCUAAUUAAAGAACCGUUGAGCCUCUGCCAUUCCUGCCUGUUUUAGCCGGUAGAGAGCUCUUAGUCAGUCUUCCCGACUCUGGUCUCUGUACUUUCAAUAUUUUGUCAUUUGAAUUGAAGGGAGACAAUCUCUGGCUUAAAUGGAAGAGAGACAGAGCUAUUCACAUAUAUUGGCCUUCAUGAAGGGAUUUUUUAAAUCAUCUUUUUCUUUUUUUUAACAGUACAUUCCUGUUGGUUAUCUCUUUUAAAUAUAGCAGUAUGUGCAUGUCAGACCCAAACUUGGAAGCGUUUCUCUCUCCUCUUUCCCUUCAGGACAUCCCCCGCAACCCCAUACUGCUGAUACAUUCGGCUUUUUUCACUCUAAACUAUAACUGUUUGCUUAACAACUGAUAAGCCCUAAAGAAACCUGGACUUUUGAUACCAAGCCACUGUUUCUCCAUCUUUCAUGGGUUUUCAGAAUAGCCUAACUUCACCUCUGCUUUCAUGCAGCAUCCAUACCCAAACCCUCUCUGCUGCCCCAGAAGCAUAAGCUGCCUGCUGCUGCUGCUGCUGCUGCUAAGUCACUUCAGUUGUGUCCAACUCUGUGCGACCCCACAGACUCCCCCGUCCCUGGGAUUCUCCAGGCAGGAACACUGGAGUGGGUUGCCAUUUCCUUCUCCAACAGACCAGCCGCCUAGCAUUUCUUUAAAGCGUCAGAAAUUUUUAUUCCUGUACACAAGGCACUGUUUGCUCUGUUGUUCCCACUUGCUUAAAAUAGACUUCAGAAGAUUUUGGUUUUGUUAUCUUUCCUGUAUUUUCUUAUAUUUAAAAAAUGGCGAGUUUAUUGAAGUAUUUGUAAUACAAAAACAGAGAAGAACCUACAUAUUUUUAAAAUAUUAAUUUUAAAAUAUUAAUUUCAUAUUUAUUGUUGCAUAUCCUGACACUUCCAAAAGGUAUUAAGGACAUAUAAAAUAAAACUCAUUGUCUACUGUACCACUGCUAACAUUUGAGAAUGGAUUCUCCCUGCCUUUUUUGUGUAUAUUUUUGGUAGUAUUGUUUAGUCACUCAAUUGUGUCCAACUCUUUGCAACCCAGUGGACAAUAGUCCACCAGGCUCCUCUGUCCAUGGGAUUUUCCCAGGCAGGAAUACUGGAGUGGGUUGCCAUUUCCUUCUCCAGGGGAUCUUCCCAACCCAGGGAUUGAACCCACGUAUCUUGCAUUAGCAGGCAGGUUCUUUAUACUGAGCCACCUGGGAAGCCCAUACAUAUUUUACCUACAAACAAUUGAAUAUAUUAUUGGCACUUUAAGUUUUUGAAACCCAUCUGUGGUUUACUGUCACUCCAAAUAAAAAAUGUUGUCGUCCUCAUUUGGUAGAUGCUGUAUUUUAACAUAAAGAAUAUAAAAUCUGCCAGAAUUAUUUGUCUCAGAUUUAGCUUAUAAACGUGUGUUUGGUUCACAUUUUUGCCUUUUCAUUUUUUCUACUGUCAGCUGUAAAACAUCAGAUCAGGAUUAGCUGCUGUAGUACUGGCUGCACUUUAUUAAGUGCAUGAAGGAAUUUUUCUACUCUCUUCCCAGCGAAGUUUAUUUAGGUAAAAGGUUGAUAACAUUCUUUGCCCCAAAGAAAGUUUUUUUUUCUUUCUUGCCCAUGAAGACAAUUCUUCAAGAGGUUAAACAUGAAGAACCAUUCUCUCUCAUAUAAACAGAUCUAUCCCUCCACUGUGUUAAGCUGGGUUUAUAAAAUACAUAAUCUCACAUACAAAUUAAAAUAGUUCUGUAGUGUGCGUGUAGGGGAUGUGUCUUACUUUGGGUUUGCCGACAUACAAAAGAAUCUAGAAACAUUUGUAUUUUUUGAAAGACUGGGCCUCUGCCAUACUCUGAUAUGCAAAAUCCAUAGUUUAUGCUUGGAUGUAUUUAAAUAAGUUGAGUAACAGGUCUAGGUAAACAAGUUACAUUGAUUACAAGAGUGAAUGUGAGCUUGAGAAUAUUUGUGUUAAUGCCUCAUUUUUUUUCAAGUAAGACCCUGUGCAUUCCUUACAGAGAGGACUAUUUUCCUGAAAGUGAUAAAAAUGCAAACACUCAUCUCUAAUGUUUUAUGUCAUGUCAACUACCUCUUUGAUAGGAUUCUUUGUUUUGGUUAUUUUCCUUACCAGUGAUAAGAUAAGAUCUAAAGGAUGUAUUCUGCAUACUGAUCGAAGCAUUCUGCAGUACUUUUGCCAGAAAAGUCCCUGAAUAUUCCAAGUAAGAAUUAAAGAAAAUUUUGCACGACAUGGCAUAUUUAAAAUAUUUCCACUAUUCAGUGGCCUAGUUUUUGAUGGUCGAAUGCACCAAUAAGUGCUAUUCAUCAUAUUUAUACAAAAAUUAUGUUGUGUGUGUGUAUAUAUAUAUAUAUAUGUAUUCAUUUUGUAGCCUUUCCCAGUUAGCAGUUUAAUGUUUCUUACACAGUUUCUCUCAUGGAAAUGCAAAGAGCAAUUCUGAGUUUGUGGGUAGAAAUCCAGAGCUAGCAAGUUUGUGCUGUCCCCAUGUGUGUCCCUGGUGGCUCAGAUGGUAAAAAAAAAAAUCUGCUGGCAAUGCAGGAGACCCGGGUUCAAUCCCUGGGUCAGGAAGAUCCCCUGGAGCAGGGAAUGAAUACCCACUCCAGUAUUCUUGCCUGGAGAAUCCCAUGGACAGAGGAGCCUGGCAGGCUAUAGUCCAUGGGGUCACAAAAAGUCAGACACAACUGAACAAUAACGCAACUUUCACUUUCAUGGUUUCUAAACCAUGGGCUUGUUGGCCCUCAAAUUUCUCUAGUAAGUUUUAUUUGAAAUUAACCUUGGAGGAGGGGAGCAGACAGGUAGAUGAGAGGAUCCCCAUCAUUCCUGAUCAGACCAUAUACAUCUCAUAUAUGACUCUUGAAAACACUGGACACAGAUACCUACACGUAGAAAGUGCUCUGUAACUAUAGGCCCAUGAGAAUUUUUAACCCCUGACUUCAAGCUACCAAUUCUCCCGCAGCUAACGUCCUUAAGUUUUAUUUAUUUAGUGAUAUUGUGAAGUAAGUUUGGAAAUCGCUGGUGGCUUAUAUAAAAGCAUGGACUGACCUAUCUUAGUUAUGUCAUUAAGCAAUACCUGAAGAGAGAGGUCAGUUCCAAGUUGAGGUUCACGCUCAGCUCAUGCCGUUGCCUGUUGGUUAUUUUUUCCAGAUCAGCAAGACUCUUACCUUGAAGAGUCUUGAGCCCUCCACCUGAGCUCUGUUUCCAGAACUUUCCUCAGCUUUGUUAGUCUGUCCCUCGUUGUUGUUCUUCUCUGUGUAUGAAAACGGUGACCUUGGUUUUGGAAUAAUAUUACACUGUAAAUCAAAUUCUGCCUCAAAAGAACUCUUCCACAGUUUUCUGCAUUCCUGAACAGGUUACAAAAUGUCACAAUUCAGUAAGGCCAAUUAUUAGAUUUUCAUUUAAUGGGCAGUUUUAAUGUUCUCAGAGAAUCUGAAUAGUAAUAGCAUUUUAAACUACUGCAUUCCAUUUAAAGACUCACAACGAGUUCUUCUCUCUUUGAGUGUACCUUGUUAUAUUUUUGGGUAUCAUUUAAAUUCAGGCUCCCAAUCUGUAGGAAAAAUCAAUGAGUUAAUGAAUAACCUCAUUUUUAAAACUUUUCAAAUAUUUUAUCCUAAUUAUAAGGCAUAUCUAGUGACAUUAAUUUGAUGAAAUCCCAAAUCAUCAGAUUGUGCAGAAUAGCCCUUACCAAGGAUUAAUUUAGAGCAUUUUCAGUUUAACAAAUGUACUAGUUUUUAGGACCAGAUCAUGGCUUUGCUUACUGUGAGAAAAACUUCCUACUGUUAAGGUUUGAGGUCCAUGUCGGUAUAGGUCAAACUUUGUGUUUUUUUUAAUCUCAUAGUUAUGUUUGUUUACCAUGUUUUAUUUAACCUGUUAAAUGAGAAGCUUUCCUGCUAUAAAUAAUAAUCACCCCUGAUGUAUAGAGCAAAUUCUUCUUGGUAAAUCGCUCCCACGUGCACCGUCCACCAGUUUGGUGAGCUUCAAGGUUAUUCUCGGGCCCUACAGUGAGUAAACAGCCAAGCCAAGUCCAAGACCAGUGACCGUCCACACACAACUGGUGUGCUUCAUGUAAACCACAUCAUAUCCUGUGGGGAAUAAGCCAGCAAAUGAUGGCUGUUUAAGUCAGUUAUUCUCUGCCGUGUUGUUCGCGGCUCAUAGGCUGUUCUCUGGGACAGCAACAGAAAAUGCAUUCUCUGUAGAGAUCGAGCCUACAGUUUGUGAGAAACCCACACAGUAGGCGUCAUCUCAGUCCUUCCUACUAUCCAGAUGCCUAUGUGGUUCUCUGUUUUAAUCCUUGUCCCUCUUUAUCCUCAUCAAUUCUGUGUCCUUUCUCCAGCUGAAGAUAUUUCUGAUAUUUACUCUUAAGGAAGUAGAAAUCACUUAUAAGCCUCAGUUGGUCAAUCCUCCCAGCUGCCCGGUAAGAUAAGUCUAGAGUAGGUAACACAAGCCCCUCACUACUCCUUCAACAUUUGGAUGAGUCACCGAGUUACUAACCAAACCUAAAUCUCCUAGUUCCCAGGCUGCUUCUCUGUUCUUGACCUACCAUCAGCCAGAAAGUUGUGGGUAUUAUGUUAUAUUCAGCUGGUCAGUCAGUAACUUAAAUGUAUUCUUGCAUAUUUCCUUGGAUGGGACCAAUACAGAAGCAACAUGUAUCUUUGGUAAAAGCUCACAGACUGUGGAGUUACAAAAAUCAAAGUCUUCCUGGAAAUGUUCAUCUUCUUAAUAAUUCAUCUGCUAGACCCACAAGAGGACUCAAUAUCUGUGGACUAAAUUAUAUAAAUCCAGCCAAAGGUAAUAAUCCAAAGGGGAAGAAAGGAAAAAGAAUAAAUGGGGGGAGAGGAGAAACUAAGUAGAGAGGCACUUCCCCUCCUAAAGAAGCUGUGCUUCGUGCAACACUUGGCCGGUAAAGAAAAUCUGGCAUCAGGACAGACUUGCCCCACCCCAGGUUUCCACUCAUAUUUCACUUCCACCCCUCUACUGCCCCAAACAUGAACCAGUUUGCUUCUGCUGCUAACGGAGGCUGGUGUCGGGUCAGGGCAUUGUGACUGCAUAGCAUCUCAUUGUGCUGCAUACAGAUUUAAUGGAUUCAGACCAUCAGGAUGUGCUCUCCUGUUGUGGUUUUUAAAUUUGGAGUGACAGAUGUUGACCACCUGUAAACUUCAGUGGAGCAAAAGGUGCUUCUAAGGUGAAGAGGCCUCUACAACCAGGCCCAGAUUGCAAGAUGAGGAAACUGAGGCUUAGCAAAGUUCAGUCACUUGCUCAAAGUCAUACAACUAUCAAGUCUCAGCCAGGAUUGCAGCCAGUCACGUCCAUCAGCCUUACGAGCUCAGCUCUCCUUGUCAGAAACCUGAUACCAGCUGGGUUCUCAUCCUGCAGUCAGCCUCCAAAGAACCCAAGUAACUACAUGUGGUCAAAGUGAAACCUCUGUUUACAGAUCAGACUAUGCUUUUGUUAGUAUGUUUCAUUUAGAGUAUCAGUGAUAUUUUCAGUGAUAAGCUAAGAGUUUUAAGAAAAUACCUAAGCCUAUUUACCAGCUCCUUUCACCUUAAAUGGGGGGCAAAUGCUACAGUAGCCGUGAACAACUCAUGUUCAUAUGCCAAAGUUGGCAUAUGAAGUGAUUUCCCAAGAGGUUGCUACCAUAAGAGCAGAGGCAAAAAUGGCAGAAAAAGUCUUUGGCGCUCUCCACGUCCCUUGGUGCCCAACUCUUUCCCUCCAUUCCUCCCACCCCAGCACUUUUGGUCACUUCUGAUGGUCUGAUUCUCCUGAUUGUGACCCCACCUGGUGCAAUCUGUCCCAUAAAUGUAAUCCCCAGUGAAAACGGCCCAUGAGAGACAGUCUCCUGGAAGAGCACUCUGAGGAAGGGAAGUCACACAAGACUUCAUCUUGGGACAUGACCAAGUUUUAUAGGAGUAGAAAUGGAAACUGUUAAUACUGUGAUUUUUUGUUGUUGUUACACGGGUGGCAUGUGGACUCCCAGAUCCCCGACCAGGGAUCAAACCUAUGCCCCCUGCAUUGGGAACAUGGAGUUUUAACCACUAGACCACUAGUGACAGUUAAUAUUAUUACUAUUAAUAAUAAUAGUUAUUAUUACUCUGGACUUCUACCUCUGCUUCGACAGCCCCCUGUUUUUCAUGCUCUGUUGGAUCUCUGACCAAAUUCCUCGUCAUUCUGUGUCUUUCCCCUGCUUCACUUGUCUUCAUAGAACAUAGCACUGCCUGGAAUUGCAUUAUAUACUUCUUGGUUUAUUAGCAUCUCUUUACAUCUAUAGGAAGUAAGCUCCAUGAGAGCAGGAACGUUGCUUUGCUUGCUGCUGUAAGCCUAGCAUCUGCAAGAGGGUUUGGCACAUAGUAGCUGCUGAAUAAAUAUGUAU
This is a long non-coding RNA of Bubalus bubalis (water buffalo), 11621 nucleotides long. RefSeq lists it as uncharacterized. The transcript is spliced from 2 exons. NCBI's taxonomy places the organism in Eukaryota, Metazoa, Chordata, Mammalia, Artiodactyla, Bovidae. The record is from RefSeq and is a predicted model, not a curated record.